GGCGGAGCGAGGGGGACAGCGAGCAGGCGCGGGGCAGGGGCGCCUCGCUCCCCGCCCGUGAAGGAGGGCCCCUCUGUGCCCGCCCGCCGCCGUCCCUUCGUCCACCCGUGGCCCCUCCUCAAAGCGACUGCCAGGGAACCUCACCUCCCCUGUAGCGUUUACCGCUUCCAUCCGCACCCCUGCGGCACCAGGUGCAACUCCUAGAUGCAGAUGUUAUACAACAUACCUUCUACUCACCCUUGAACUACAGUCAAAGAUAAAGAUUCACGGAGUUUGUCAUAGGCUUCCAAAGGACAAAGUCGAAAGCUUUAUAGCAGGUAAAAUAAGACUUCAGUUAGUUUCUGUUCUGUAGAACUGAAGCAACAAAUGAAAAAUAUUUUCAAGUUUCCUUUGAAUAGAGACAAUGAAGGUGUUCCAAGCACAAAGACGUUGCCUUAAGGAAUUUGAAGAGGUGUACCUUUCAAGCAAAGUCAUGUUUCAGCUUAUAAUUGAAUAAACAAUCUGUGUAAAAUCUACUCUGAGGAGGACUCUGAGUGAAGCAGCACAGGAAAACAAACAUUCUCAGAGCUUUUCAAUUUAUUUGUGUACGGGGACUGAAGAAAAAGACAAGGAAAUGGUAUAGAGUCAGUGCAAUGUAUGAAAGCUCUAAAAAACCCCAACCCAGCCACCUUCUAAGGUUAUACUUACAGUUAGCAGAGACCAUCUGAUGGAAGCACUCCACAAGACAGGUAUAGAGCAUACAAGGCAUGUUGCCCACUCAAAUAAAGCACCUCAACUUCAUUCUUAAUUUUCUUCUCCCUUUUUCAUAGUUCCUUUUUCUACAUUACUUGAGUGAAAAAAGAACAAGUUAUUUUUCCUUUGAUCUCGAGUUACUCAACAGCACGGGGAAGGGAAAUAAUAAGAAAGUGUUUUAAUCAUUCCCUACACCUAUGCUAUCUGUGCUUAAUUCCCAGAAACCCCAAGCUAUUGCAUCAAAUUCAGUCUUGAAAUCGUCAGCUAUUUGAAACAGUAGACUGGCCACAGAGGAAGGAAAUGGCAUUCGUGGUCUCAGCCCUAUCCACAGCUCUGAAAUUGUUUCAGGCUUAGAGGAUGGGACCUGGAGGGCAAAUGUAACAAUUACUAAAAAUACUGUUUCUUUAUAAAGACACAAAUCUUUAUGUAUUAUAAAAUACAAUGAAACUGUGCUAAUAAUAUACUCUCUCAUACUAUUUCUGUAGUGGAAUAUUGGUUGAAAUAUGUAAGUUUUAGAAAAUUUAGUUCUUACAAAGUUAUUGCACACUGAUGAUUAUGCUCAGAUUUAGCAAGGCUAUUAAUUAACAGCACAUUUUAACCAUGGCAGUAAGUUUCUUCUAACAAACAUUCAACUACCAAAUACAUCACCAGCUUUAUUUAUACUCAGCAACACAACUCCUGCAUUGUCACCUUGUCAAAGAGACACUGCUGCCUGAAAUGUAACCUGAAACAAUGCCAUCAAUCCAAUCCCUGGUUCAGAUUCAAAGGCAAUUUGAAACAUGAAGUUAGUUGAAAUGUGCAAAUCAGUAAAAAUUUACUCAGCUACUCAGAGUAAAUUUGUUCCUUGUGGUAAAGUGCUGUGUUUAAUAUUUUCAAUAAGGUAUUGGAACUUUUGCUUGUCCUUCAAAAAAAAGGACACAUUAAACCACCACAUUCCUUUAAAAGGAAGGAAAUAUAGUUGGAAAUUACUAAAAAAACCUAAAAACUGUCAGUUAUAGAGAAGCUGAAUCAGAGAGAGGUUAUUAAGGUAGUAAAUGGACUGAAGAAUCAGAAUGAAGUAUUUAACUUGUCAAGAAGGGGGAAGCCUGAAGAGCCUUCCCACUGUGUCUCUUUGUGCUGGAAGAACACUCCACUUCAUCCCUUGCUAGAUGCAUUCCUUUAAACCACAAAGUUCAGCACUUCAGAACACAGAAGUCUGUCACUACUCUGCAUUCAGAUGAAGAAUUCAAAACCUGACACCCUCCCAAACCAGAACUUUGUAAGUCUGUUGUGUUUCAGAAAAAUGGGGUAUAUAUGGCAUUUCAUAUACUAAAAGAAGCUCACGUGUGAUUUCCAUUCUGAAAUCUUUAUAGGACUUCCUGUUCUGUGAUUUGGCAUAUGAGAUCUGAGAAUUCGCUUCCUGCCGAGACAACACAGAUUAGAGCAGUGUUUCAUAUUCAUCUAACAGGUGUUAAAUAAAGCAUACAAGA
Long non-coding RNA from Cuculus canorus (common cuckoo), 2201 nucleotides. RefSeq lists it as uncharacterized. NCBI's taxonomy places the organism in Eukaryota, Metazoa, Chordata, Aves, Cuculiformes, Cuculidae. The transcript is spliced from 3 exons. The record is from RefSeq and is a predicted model, not a curated record.